This 503-nucleotide ribosomal RNA is filed under the name uncultured Glomus. RNAcentral's name for it is "SSU rRNA". It matches the Rfam family "Eukaryotic small subunit ribosomal RNA", at positions 569 to 1078 of the family's 1831-position model. The record is from RNAcentral. Lineage: Eukaryota; Fungi; Glomeromycota; Glomeromycetes; Glomerales; Glomeraceae.
AGCAGCCGCGGUAAUUCCAGCUCCAAUAGCGUAUAUUAAAGUUGUUGCAGUUAAAAAGCUCGUAGUUGAAUUUCGGGGUCAAUAAGUUGGUCAUGCCAAUGGUAUGUACUGGCUUUAUUGAUUCCUACCUCUUGACGAACUGUGAUGCCAUUAAUUUGGUGUUGCAAGGAAUCAGGACUGUUACCUUGAAAAAUUAGAGUGUUUAAAGCAAGCUUACGCUUGAAUACAUUAGCAUGGAAUAAUGAAAUAGGACGUUUGAUCCUAUUUUGUUGGUUUCUAGGAUCGACGUAAUGAUUAAUAGGGAUAGUUGGGGGCAUUAGUAUUCAAUUGUCAGAGGUGAAAUUCUUGGAUUUAUUGAAGACUAACUACUGCGAAAGCAUUUGCCAAGGAUGUUUUCAUUAAUCAAGAACGAAAGUUAGGGGAUCGAAGACGAUCAGAUACCGUCGUAGUCUUAACCAUAAACUAUGCCGACUAGGGAUCGGAUGAUGUUAAUUUUUAAUGUA